CCUACGGGGGGCAGCAGUGAGGAAUAUUGGUCAAUGGACGAGAGUCUGAACCAGCCAAGUAGCGUGAAGGAUGACUGCCCUAUGGGUUGUAAACUUCUUUUAUAUGGGAAUAAAAUGUUCCACGUGUGGGAUUUUGUAUGUACCAUAUGAAUAAGGAUCGGCUAACUCCGUGCCAGCAGCCGCGGUAAUACGGAGGAUCCGAGCGUUAUCCGGAUUUAUUGGGUUUAAAGGGAGCGUAGGUGGAUUGUUAAGUCAGUUGUGAAAGUUUGCGGCUCAACCGUAAAAUUGCAGUUGAAACUGGCAGUCUUGAGUACAGUAGAGGUGGGCGGAAUUCGUGGUGUAGCGGUGAAAUGCUUAGAUAUCACGAAGAACUCCGAUUGCGAAGGCAGUUCACUGGACUGUAACUGACACUGAGGCUCGAAAGUGUGGGUAUCAAACAGGAUUAGAUACCCAAGUAGUC
Molecule: ribosomal RNA, 460 nt
Filed under: uncultured bacterium
Lineage: Bacteria
Description: partial 16S ribosomal RNA
Rfam family: Bacterial small subunit ribosomal RNA
Source: RNAcentral